RNAcentral lists this ribosomal RNA (468 nucleotides) under uncultured bacterium. RNAcentral's name for it is "partial 16S ribosomal RNA". It matches the Rfam family "Bacterial small subunit ribosomal RNA", at positions 28 to 507 of the family's 1533-position model. The record is from RNAcentral.
GACGAACGCUGGCGGCGUGCUUAACACAUGCAAGUCGAACGGAAAGGCCCUGCUUUUGUGGGGUGCUCGAGUGGCGAACGGGUGAGUAACACGUGAGUAACCUGCCCUUGACUUUGGGAUAACUUCAGGAAACUGGGGCUAAUACCGGAUAGGAGCUCCUGCUGCAUGGUGGGGGUUGGAAAGUUUCGGCGGUUGGGGAUGGACUCGCGGCUUAUCAGCUUGUUGGUGGGGUAGUGGCUUACCAGGGCUUUGACGGGUAGCCGGCCUGAGAGGGUGACCAGCCACAUUGGGAGUGAGAUACGGCACAGACUCAUUCGGGAGGCAGCGGUGGGGAAUAUUGCACAAUGGGCGGAAUCCUGGUGCAGCAUCGCCACGUGGGGGAUGACGGCCUUCGGGUGUUAAACCGCUUUUGCCUGUGACGAAGCGUGUGUGACGGUAAUGGGUAAAGAAGCACCGGCUAACUACGUG